UGGUUCUGGCAUCGAUGAAGAACGCAGCGAAAUGCGAUAAGUAAUGUGAAUUGCAGAAUUCAGUGAAUCAUCGAAUCUUUGAACGCACAUUGCGCCCGCUAGUAUUCUGGCGGGCAUGCCUGUUCGAGCGUCAUUUCAACCAUCAAGCCCUAGGCUUGUGUUGGGGCCCUGCGGCCGUCCGCAGCCCCCGAAAAGCAGUGGCGGGCUCGCAGUUACACCGAGCGCAGUAAUACAUCUCGCGAGGAAGUGAUUGUGGGUUCUAGCCAUUAAACCCCCUAAUUUCUCAAGGUUGACCUCGGAUCAGGUAGGAAUACCCGCUGA
RNAcentral lists this unclassified non-coding RNA (321 nucleotides) under uncultured fungus. Its description in RNAcentral is "partial contains 5.8S ribosomal RNA and internal transcribed spacer 2". The stretch from base 1 to 133 matches the Rfam family "5.8S ribosomal RNA", at positions 22 to 154 of the family's 154-position model. Lineage: Eukaryota; Fungi. The record is from RNAcentral.